Small nuclear RNA from Ailuropoda melanoleuca (giant panda), 107 nucleotides. Lineage: Eukaryota; Metazoa; Chordata; Mammalia; Carnivora; Ursidae. The record is from Ensembl.
GUGCUCACUUCGGCAGCACAUACACUAAAAUUGGAACGAUACAGAGAAGAUUAGCGUGGCCUCCGCACAAGAAUGACUCUCAAAUUCAUGAAGCAUUUCAUAUUUUU